This 16-nucleotide ribosomal RNA is filed under the name Aspergillus amstelodami. RNAcentral's name for it is "partial 18S ribosomal RNA". The record is from RNAcentral. RNAcentral also lists the same sequence under 46 other names. Lineage: Eukaryota; Fungi; Ascomycota; Eurotiomycetes; Eurotiales; Aspergillaceae.
CUGCGGAGGAUCAUUA